GGCACCAGAUGCACUGUCACUGUGAAAGAUUUAUCUCAGUGUUGCUGAGCUGGGCUAUUGCUUGGUAGAGCCUGCCUCUGCCGAGGUGCCAUUUAAUAGCCAUCCAGACCUCUACAUGAAACAGGUUCAAGAGAAUGGGAAGUUAUCUGGAGUAGGAAAAAGGACAGUGACAGAGAUUGGGCUUCCCUGUGCUUAACUGCCCUGAGGUGGAGUUGAGGCCUAGAUGCCCAGCAGUGCCACCUUAGACCUGAGCCCUGCGGCCGUCACCGCCCCCAAGCGAAAGUUGUGGAAGGAAAAAAAAUCACUUCUCCUCAGGAAGGUGGAAAAGCAGGGUGAAGGAACAGAGGACUGCAAUUGCAGCCCAGGUGUGCAUGCAGGGCAGCUGGAGCUGAGGGCUGGUGGUGUGCACCUGUUGGCUGGGGAAGCUCUCCUGGGCUGUCUGGUGGAUGCUGCAUAGUCUGCUCUUAAAGGUCUUCCUUAAAGAACUGUCUCUUCUCAACUCCGUACAACAUCCAGCACAAUGGGAUUUGAAGCAUGAGCAGGACCAAAGGAGAUAUAACAUCUGCCCAUCAGCCUUGUCUAUAUUCUUAUCGUGCCAUGGAUAAACGGGAAAUCUUGCAAGAUUUUUUUUUGCCUUAAAAAUUGCUGUGUACUAAAAAAAAAAUAUGGUGUGAUGUGUGUCUUAUGUACUGAUCUUGUUGUCAACUUUUAAAAGUAUUUGUGUCUAUCUGCUUGGACCCAUCUAAAUGCAUUUACUUAGCUGAAAAAUUGUACGGCCAAUUCUUAGUAAGAGUGAUGUUGGUAGAUACCAUUUAAAUAUUUCACAAUAUUGCAAUCGAAAUAAAUUGUGAGCCUUUUAUCCUUUUGAGUACUUCAAAGCUUGGUUGUCUGUAUCCUACCUACCCUUUCUUUUCUGAGAUAACCCAAUCUUAAUGGGGGACUGUAUUUUGAUGGUAUUUCUGGUAUACUUAAGAUC
Phasianus colchicus (ring-necked pheasant) is the source of this 976-nucleotide long non-coding RNA. RefSeq lists it as uncharacterized. The record is from RefSeq and is a predicted model, not a curated record. Lineage: Eukaryota; Metazoa; Chordata; Aves; Galliformes; Phasianidae.